This 70-nucleotide transfer RNA is filed under the name Pachytriton brevipes (black-spotted stout newt). Its description in RNAcentral is "tRNA-Leu". Lineage: Eukaryota; Metazoa; Chordata; Amphibia; Caudata; Salamandridae. The record is from RNAcentral.
CUUUUAAAGGAUAAUAGUCAUCCAUUGGUUUUAGGGGCCAAACACUCUAGGUGCAACUCCAAGUAAAAGU